This is a long non-coding RNA of Hibiscus syriacus, 878 nucleotides long. RefSeq lists it as uncharacterized. Lineage: Eukaryota; Viridiplantae; Streptophyta; Magnoliopsida; Malvales; Malvaceae. The record is from RefSeq and is a predicted model, not a curated record. The transcript has 2 exons.
UUGUAGAUAACAUAGCUAAUUAGGAAGUAAAAUUCAAAACAUUUUGUGCUCAAAACUCGUGGAAGCCAUCGAAUCGUUGAGCUUGCCUUCUCUGAGUGAAACAAAUUAGGGUCUUGGAAAUGAGGCUGGCGCUUUCAUAAUGUAUCGUAAAGAUAUCUGACCUGAAUAUUUGAUUCCUGCAGGCAUAUAAGUUGAAUAAGAGAAAUAAAAUGGGAAUUUACUGUGACAGACUUAUCCUCAUUCUCAAAUGGAAUUGAUGGUACGUGACACAUGUUGCUAUUUUCGGUGGUGGACCUGCCGUCUAAUCUUCAUUUGAGUUUUAUACACCGAACACCAAUGAAACUAUUUUAGAUGAUCUAUUUAUUAGAACUUUUCAAGUGUUUGUACAAACCUUCUUGAAAAUCUCCGAGCUGUUCUAUUAAUAUAAGUUUGAAACCAAAUUUCUUUGAUGGCAUUCAUACGCGACCUAAUUUGUUGAGAUUGGGCUGCUGCAAAUGUUUGUUGAUUGAGGUUAAGAGCAAUUAUUGUUGUUGUUAUUAUUAUUAUCACUGCUUUAUUUUUCACGCUGUAGGACGAUUUAUGCUAAUAACUAUCUGAUCUGAGUGCGUUCUGUGUUGCCAUAGAGUUCGGUCAAUCGGUUCCGAGGUGACUUGUUAAAGACUGUUCAAAUGACGGAAGUAUCCAACAAAGGCAUGUAGAUCGUUAUUUGAAAACAAAUGGUCAUUUUUCUAACAGCAGUAAAGCUGAUUUUGAUUCUUACGAGUUGUGAGAUUGUUUGUUCAAAAGUCUGAAAUAAGUAUGCUGUUGUGUUUUACGUUGAUCAUAUAUGAUCUCAAUAGACUUAACCGUCAUGACCUUCCGAUUUACUUGCUUCUUCC